ACAACUUUCAGCGACGGAUGUCUCGGCUCGAACAACGAUGAAGGGCGCAGCGAAGUGUGAUAAGCAUUGUGAAUUGCAGAAUUCCGUGAA
Molecule: ribosomal RNA, 90 nt
Filed under: Kryptoperidinium triquetrum
Lineage: Eukaryota; Dinophyceae; Peridiniales; Kryptoperidiniaceae
Description: Heterocapsa triquetra partial 5.8S ribosomal RNA
Rfam family: 5.8S ribosomal RNA
About the family: 5.8S ribosomal RNA (5.8S rRNA) is a component of the large subunit of the eukaryotic ribosome. It is transcribed by RNA polymerase I as part of the 45S precursor that also contains 18S and 28S rRNA. Functionally, it is thought that 5.8S rRNA may be involved in ribosome translocation.
Source: RNAcentral